CACCGUUUACUAGAAAAUCAGUAUCCUACUCGGAUAACUGUGGCAAUUCUAGAGCUAAUACGUGCGAAAAAGCUCGUUUCGCAAGAUUCGAGCGCAUUUAUUAGAAUAAAAACCAAUCGGGCCCAUAAAGCCCGUAAUUUGGUGAAUCUGAAUAACUUUGCCGAUCGCACGGUCCUAGUACCGGCGACGUAUCUUUCAAGUGUCUGCCUUAUCAACUUUCGAUGGUAGGUUAUACGCCUACCAUGGUAGUAACGGGUAACGGAGAAUAAGGGUUCGACUCCGGAGAGGGAGCCUGAGAAACGGCUACCACAUCCAAGGAAGGCAGCAGGCGCGCAAAUUACCCACUUCCAGAACGGAGAGGUAGUGACGAAAAAUAACGAGACAGUCCUCUUCGAGGUCUGUCAUCGGAAUGGGUACAAUUUAAAUCCUUUAACGAGGAUCUAUUGGAGGGCAAGUCUGGUGCCAGCAGCCGCGGUAAUUCCAGCUCCAAUAGCGUAUAUUAAAGUUGUUGCGGUUAAAACGCUCGUAGUUGGAUCUGCGGCCUCGGAGAACGGUCCCCCGAAAGGGCGGUCACUGUUACUCCAAGCCUAAAUAUCUAGUCUACUCUACGGUGCUCUUAACCGAGUGCCUAGAGUGACUGGAACGUUUACUUUGAAAAAAUUAGAGUGCUUAAAGCAGGCGAAAUAGCCUGAAUAAGGUGCAUGGAAUAAUGGAAUAGGACCUCGGUUCUAUUUUGUUGGUUUUCGGAGCCCGAGGUAAUGAUUAAGAGGAACAGACGGGGGCAUUCGUAUUCCGGCGCUAGAGGUGAAAUUCUUGGACCGCCGGAAGACGGACGACUGCGAAAGCAUUUGCCAAGAAUGUUUUCAUUAAUCAAGAACGAAAGUUAGAGGUUCGAA
This 896-nucleotide ribosomal RNA is filed under the name Nematoda environmental sample. Its description in RNAcentral is "SSU rRNA". It matches the Rfam family "Eukaryotic small subunit ribosomal RNA", at positions 111 to 1002 of the family's 1831-position model. The record is from RNAcentral. Lineage: Eukaryota; Metazoa; Nematoda.